RNAcentral lists this transfer RNA (71 nucleotides) under Butyrivibrio sp. Its description in RNAcentral is "tRNA-Thr". It matches the Rfam family "tRNA". Rfam says of the family: Transfer RNA (tRNA) molecules are approximately 80 nucleotides in length. Their secondary structure includes four short double-helical elements and three loops (D, anti-codon, and T loops). The record is from RNAcentral. Lineage: Bacteria; Bacillati; Bacillota; Clostridia; Lachnospirales; Lachnospiraceae. RNAcentral also lists the same sequence under 1 other name.
GCUUCUGUCGUCCAAUGGUAGGACUACUGACCUGUAAUCAGUGUAUCCUGGUUCAAAUCCGGGUAGAAGCU